ACCCGUACCUAAAAUAAAAGGGCAAAAUUUGAACAAGUACUUGAAGAAAGCGUUUUGAAUAGUACUAGGCAGUAAGAAGUAGGCGAUUAGAGUUCAUCACGAGAUGAAGCGAAGGCGAGAAAACCUAAGAACGCGAAUUGAGCUUCAUCACAAACGAAGACUAGGUAAUGAAGAGUAAGGAAACUUUUGGGAAAUUUUGUAAGAAUACUUAAUGGGCUAGAUGUAAGGGAUUAAGUCAAGCAUGAUUAAGUUAUACGCGCACCAUUAAGAGUAGAAGUUGACAAGUUAUUAAGAGGCGUAGGAUGACUAAUCAAAUUUAGGACUAGUAUAAAUAAAGGAAGAUAUUAAUUGGAUUAUUUAAAGGUUACUUUGAAAAUUUGAAGAGGAAAAGCUCAGCGCUAAGUUGUUGUGGUGAAAGGACUAUUCGAGAAGAGGAAGUAUAGGAUCGUUCUAAUUUCAAAUCAACCAAGUUUUGUGAGUGAUUUUCUUUAUGUAUUUUAAAAUGUUAAAAGCUUUCUUUUAAGAUCUUGCUAAUUUGAAAUGAUAAGAAUGUUUUCAAAGAGAUUUCAAAUUCAAGUUUAUACUAUGUUUAAAGUAUAUUUAUGUAUUUUAAAUUAAUGUGAAAUUGUGUUCAAACCAUUAUGUCUGGUUCCUAUUAAUGAGCUAACUGUUAUGUGCAUAUAAAAAGUAAAGGAAGUCAUGCAGAAAAGGACUGCAUGAUGAAAUGAGGUGGGACAGUGCAUAAAAGAUGUGUAUUGCGCUUUAGUCUAAGCAAGGAGGAAAAGGCCAAGAUAUUCUUGGAUGCUUUUCAUAGUAGUUGAAAUGCCAGAUGAUGAGUCUUAGCGUGGAUGGUUUCAAAGUUCUCGACAAAAGGAUAAUAAGACUAAUGAAUGUUAUGCGAAUUGAUAUGUUAUGAAGUAAGGCAAUGGGCCUUUUUGAAUUAAAACUUUAUGCUAUGAAAAGUGUUUCCAGAAAAGUUUUCUUAAAACCUCACUAUGUCUAAUGUGACUUAUGUUUUAAAAGAUUUUCCUUCUAGGUGAUCAGCCGUUAAGAUCAAGUGUGAGAAAAGAAGGAAAAGGAAGCUAGGCGAGGAGGCUUGCAAGGAGUUUACUUAAAUUUGUUAUUGUUUGUAUCUAGAACUUAUUUGUAAAGGUGCAUGUAAAAUGUAUGGUUUAAGCUAAUAAAAGUUCAAGUUUGUAUUACCUUCCACUAUGUUAUGGUUCUCUAUUGCAUAGUAUUUUAAAAGUAUUUCAAGUUAUGUUUUAUCGCCUUAAGUUAAUGAUAUAAAUUGUAAGUUAAGUCAUUAGGCGAUUAACCAAAGCUUAAAGACUUAAGCUGAGCUUUCUAGUGUUUAAAUAUGUUGGGAAUGCUUAAGUCGUACAGCGUAACGCAACGCAUUAAGGUGCUUGAUUGCGGGACGAGAUGUGACAGUAUAAGUAAAAUAAAAUAAGAAACAAAAUUACUAGAAAAAGAAAGAAGAAAGUAAGAACAAACAAUGAAUAAAAAGGUAGAUAAACAAGAUAUGAAACAAUGUACAUAAAAAAUAAAUUUAUUAUAAGAAAAAGAAAAAGGUAGAAAUAGAAUGAUAAAAAAUAUGGAGAAAAAAUAUAAUAUUAAAUAACACAUAAAAAUAAGAAAAUACUCAAGAAACAACAAUGGAAAAAAGACUUAAAUAAAAAAAGUGCUAAUUAUAAAGAAAUUAAAAAUACAUAUAUAAGGAAUAAACUUUAAUAAUAAAUUAAGAAAAAGAAAGAAAUAAUAAUAAAUAAAUAAAAAGAGAUUUAACAAUAAGAUAUGGAGAAAUAUGUAUAAAUAAAUAAAUAAAAGAGAGAUUCACAAGCAAACAAAAAAAAAAUGUUGAAAUUCAAAACAUUGAAUGGAUCAUUAUUGGGCCAAAAUCCUACCAUACUUAGAGUUUUUUUCUUGUGUAUUGGAUUCAUGACAUUGUAGAGAGUUUUUUGGAGGAUGAUAAAGAUCUAGAGAUUUGUUAGAAGAGAAAACAAAGUAAAUGUGUAAUAUUUUGGUUUUUUUAGAAGAGACGAAGGCUAACAGAAGCAGAGGCUAUUGAGGUUAGAGGUUUGAAUGAAGAAGAGGGAUCGUGAAAGUUGAAAAAAUCUCUUGAAUUUUUUUUUGUUGUGUCUAC
This 2143-nucleotide long non-coding RNA is filed under the name Cucumis sativus (cucumber). Its description in RNAcentral is "long non-coding RNA (CSAT_LNC002293)". Lineage: Eukaryota; Viridiplantae; Streptophyta; Magnoliopsida; Cucurbitales; Cucurbitaceae. The record is from RNAcentral.